CCAGGCUGCACACGCGUGGCCUCAGAGGGGAGGGGAAGGGGGAGCCCUGGGCUGCUGCUAGGGGCUCCCGGAACCAUCGCAUCCCUGCCCGGGGGGUGUCAGCGCUCGGCGCCCGCGGAGUGUGGCCAGCGCUCCCGGUGCUGUAGUUGUUGGGGUCCGCGCCGGGCUCUUCUAAGCCCUCAGGGGCAACAUCUUCAGGAACAACUUCUUUGCUGUCUUUGACCUGGGUCCUGAUCUUACACAGAGACUCCAACAAUGUCCCAUUUCAACAAAGCCGAGCAAGAUGACUGGAUGACUGUUUAUCUGAAGUAUCUCUUGUUUGUGUUUAAUUUCUUCUUCUGGGUGGGUGGUGCUGCAGUGAUGGCUGUUGGCAUAUGGACCCUUGUUGAAAAAAGCGACUAUCUGAAUAUCCUGGCAUCUAGUACAUUUGCCGUGUCUGCAUACAUCCUGAUCUUUGCUGGAGGUCUUGUGAUGAUUACAGGUUUUCUGGGAUUCUGUGCAAUCAUCAGGGAACAAAGGAGCUGUCUUUCCGCAUAUUUCUCCAUGCUCCUCUUGAUCUUCCUUAUUGAGCUGGUUGCUGGAGUUCUUGCCUAUGUUUACUAUCAAAGGCUAAGCGAGGAGCUGAAACAGCACCUGACCCAGACCCUGACUGAGAAUUAUGCUGUUCCUGGGAAAACACACAUCACCCAUUCCAUCGAUCGCCUGCAGCAAGACUUCAAAUGCUGUGGCAGCAAUAGCUCCGCUGAUUGGCAGCACAGUGUCUAUAUCCUGUCUGUAGAGUCCAGUGGCCGAGUGGUACCAGAUAGCUGCUGUAAAACAGUCACCUUCAAAUGUGGGAAGAGGGAUCAUCCAUCUAACAUUUACAAGGUGGAGGGAGGAUGCAUUACUAAACUGGAACAGUUCCUGGCAGAUCACCUUUUGAUAAUGGGAGCUGUUGGCAUAGGAGUAGCUUGCCUUCAGCUGCUUGGUGCAGGCCUGACCGCCUAUUUUAACUAUGUUCUCUAUAAGGAAGAGGAAGAAGAUGCGUAUUCUGUAAUGUGACUGGUUAGCCUUCUAUACCCCUACUAUGAGCCGAGCCCCUGUGUGGAAUCCAGCAGCACUUUCAGAGCUGUGGGAUGAUUUUUACCUGCUGUCUACACAGAAGAAUUAAAAUGGACUCUUACUGAAGACUAAAAGUCUCCGCUCUCUUUGCCUUAAUGCACAAUCUAGAGAAGCAACAUUUCAACGUGUAUCAGUAUUACCUGUGCAUGCUUAAUGGGCAUAUUUAUAGCCUCCUUCUCUGUUCAUGUUGAUAUGCCUUAAAUCGAGAUGAAUUUUAGCAAGUUCACUGCCUGGAACACUUUCCAAUCCACCUUGAAAUAAUUCUUAACUGAGAAGAGAAAAAAAUAUUUUCUAUUGUUUUUUGGUACAAGAUUUUUUUUUUUAAAAAAAGCGUUACUACUCUUAUGCAGUAUGAUUUGUAAGGACAUUCUUUUGUAGCUCCACAAUCUGUAUUGUUCAGUGACAGUGCAUCCGCUGCAUAUUCAUCCCAGAUUUUCUUAGUUUAACAGAAAUAUCUUCAUGACUAUAGGAUAUUUUAACUUGAGCAACUAGCUUUAUUUUUUUAAACGAAGGGAUUUUUUAUAUUUCAGAACUAUGUCAACUUUUUGCUGUUUAGUAUUUUUUUUCAAUCUGUGUCUGUCUCCCUCUCCCUCCAGGUCCAAUUGAGGCUGCACUGCAGUCACAGCACCUUUUGUGUCAGACAGAGAGUAACAGACUGGCCCUCCUGCCAGAGCUGCACCAGGAAUAGCCCAGCAGAGGGUACUAGAUGAGUAGACUGGAUGCAUUUCAACUAGAUUUGAUUUAGAACAGCAGUUCUCAAACUGUGGGUCAGGACCUCGUUUUAAUGGGGUCGCCAGGCCUGGCUUAGACUUUCUGGGGCUUGGGGCCGAAGCCUGAGAUGGGGCCGAAGCCUGGGUGGUGGGGCUCAGGUUACAGGCCCCCUGCCUGGGGCUGAAGCCCUUGGGAUUUGUCUCUGGCCCUCCCGCCUGAGGUGGUGGGGCUUGGGCUCAGGCUUCGGCCCCACCACCUGGGGUCAUGUAGUAAUUUUUAUCAUCAGAAGGGGGUCGUGGUGCAAUGAAGUUUGAAAACCCCUGAUUUAGAAGUAUGUUCAAUUAUAAUUUAGGGCCUCUGGGAAGAUUGUGAGUAGGAGGCAACAGUGGGAGAGUAUCCGCUUUUGCAUUGCUCUUGUUGCUGUUCCAUAUUUGUCUGAAGUGCCUCCGUUAGGACUUUUAGCUUUACUGCUUUAUUGCAGACUACCAGCACAAACCUAACUGAUAAAAGAGGAGAUUUUGUGCCCAGCUUAGGGAUCCUGAUUCAGAGGAGAAAAAUCUCUUUUUAAAAAGGAUUUUAAAAUGCUACACUACAUCAUUCAACUGUUUUCUGUCAUCAGAAUAAGAUGCAUUAUAUCAACUCCACUUAGGUAUAAGGGUUAUUUUGCUAAUAAGCCCUACAGUUACUAAGAACAAAUAAAAAGAAAUAGCAUUAAAAACAAAUCUGAAUUGCUGUCACUUUGCUGUGAUUGCCAAAUUGCUCAGAAACCACUUUGACGAGCACAGGAUGGAUAAAUGAUUAGAUAGGUGGAAUGGGUGCCUAGAUGGAACAGAUGGCUAGACAGAAUAGACAGAUGGAUGGCGAGAUAGAAUGGAUGGCUAGAGGUGUAAUAAAUUUUCUUUCCGAUUCUCUCUUUCAGGACAGUGAAAUUCUUUCAGUAACAAAUGAUUCUGCUGCCACAUAGUUAGUUCUUGAUUACGCAGUUGCAAAAUAGAAGGAAACCCCCACUUCUUUAUAUGAAUGUAAAUGAUGUAGUGUAGGCAUAGCCCAAGUUACAUUUGGUGUCUUUUAAAUCAUAGGCUGUCUCUGUAACUCAGCUUGUCAGGUUUUUACCAGCAAUUGUUUGCUAGUUACCACCUCCUUGUUUUACAGUUUAACACCAGUAAGUUUCUGUUUGAGGCUAGGACUGCCAAACAGCACAGGUGAGGGAAAGGCAGGAGGCAAUGCAUGCAUUUGAGGUAAAGGGUCGUUUGUGACUUGGUGAGCCUGUGUGUGCACCUCCAUCCACAACGAGCUGAAUAGUCCUUAUUACUUUUAUUUUUAACCUGCUUGAGAUAAAACUCUAUUGAUACAACCCAUUACUUUACCUGAACUUACUAUUUUUGUAUUAUUUGUAUUACCAUAGGGCCUAAGCAUUCUAGUCAUGGACCAGAACCCCAUUAUGCUAGGUACAAUACAAAUGCAGAACAAAAAAAAAUCCUAUCCCUGUCCAAAGAGCUUACAAUGUAAGUAUUAGACAAGAGAUAACAGGUAGAGACAGACUAAUGGGGGAGUACAAGGACACAAUGCUGGUCAGCAUGAUAGGAAGUGAUCGCAGCAUACCUGCAGCCUAAACUGUUGUGAAGUUUCUUACAGUCAUCUCAGCAAAGGAGAGAUUUAAGGAGGGUUUUGAAGGAGGGGGAGGAGGUAGCUCAGUGGAUGUUUAUGGGGAGCCCCUCCAAAGCAUGAGAGGCAGCAUGGGAGAAAGCACAAAGGUGCUUGUUCAAAAAUUUAACAAGUGGGCGAUUGAGGCUGGUAUUCUGGGCUGAAUGGCGGUGGGAGUCAACAUCUUGAUACUGACUGAGAAAUGAUAGGAAGGGCUAGGCUGGGAAGGCGUAUGUUUGUUGCAAUGGUAAGUAGAACCUGUUAGUUUUCUUUUAUAGCAGUGCAAACAGAUACUCAAGCAGCCUUCCUCUAUGUCGUAGGCUACUGUCCAUGUUAUCCAUGCUAAAUAAUGUGACAGCUGCAAAGGAAGGGCUAACGAAAGGAGACAUAAUAGGGUGACAGAUUCCAGGGCUUUUCUGCUGCAUUAUCUUGAUUCAGAUACUUGGAGCCUACAUAUAUCUGUCAAGGUGUUUUAACUGAGUCACUCUCUCCAUUCAAGAAAUAUAAGAUGGGUUGGAGCCUCUCCCUGAGAUAGAAGAAACUAGUGGAUGGGACAGAGGAGAUCUGCAGGGCAAACCCCAAGAACAGCCAGUUUGGGGAUGAAAGCAGCAUAGACUGAAGUGUUUUCACUGAUAUUUGUUACCCAUAAAGUUACAUUCCAGGAAGGAGGUAAGACUCAGAUCUGGGAACUGACAUCAUGUGGGCAGACUGUUAAUUGUAGGAUUGAGGCCUAAAUUUGGAUUUUAUAAAAUGUUAGUAUACUCUGUCCAGGCCAAAUUGUGAACAUCACCUGCUUACAGACAGCAACAAGCUUUUCUGUUGAUAAAGUAACUUUUGUGUAAAGGUGUCUUAGAAUUCAUCAGGAUAUUAACUGACUGCUUUAAAAAAAAUUCAAAGUGAAAAAUGUAACUUUGCACAGUGGCUUUCAUUUUGUGUUAGAUAAAGUCUCGCUAGCUCUCAAAAAGGUACUGCACAAUCGAAAGUACAGCUGGAGAGGAUAUUAAACAAUAUAAAGAACUAAGCCUCAGACGUGUAUACAGUCUAAAGCAGUGGACACAAAUGUGCCCUCCAGUCAGACAUAAAAUGUAGUGGAGGAAAAGCACUUUUGCCCUAUUGUACUUUUAUAAUAUACACAUUAUCAACUUGUUUGGAAUUGUAACGUAAACAGUCAAUCAGUUAGAAUAAUGUAAAAAUGCUGCAUUAAGUUAAUAGCAGAGUCCAGAACUCCAGUAUAACAGCUGUUACGCCAACUUUUGCCUUGUCAAACAACCCCAAUGUAUCUCACAGUGCCUAUUUCUUGCCAUAUUUGACUGAUUGUUAUGCUCUUCUAUGUGGUACUAUAAUCUUUCAGUGAAUAAAGGCAUAGAAUGUAAGUCAGGA
RNA transcript from Chrysemys picta bellii (western painted turtle), 4836 nucleotides. It is a transcript of the gene named tetraspanin 11, with no coding region annotated. The record is from RefSeq and is a predicted model, not a curated record. NCBI's taxonomy places the organism in Eukaryota, Metazoa, Chordata, Testudines, Emydidae.